RNAcentral lists this ribosomal RNA (253 nucleotides) under uncultured bacterium. Its description in RNAcentral is "partial 16S ribosomal RNA". It matches the Rfam family "Bacterial small subunit ribosomal RNA", at positions 524 to 776 of the family's 1533-position model. The record is from RNAcentral.
UACGAAGGGGGCUAGCGUUGUUCGGAUUUACUGGGCGUAAAGCGCGUGUAGGCGGGUUUUUAAGUUGGGGGUGAAAUCCCGGAGCUCAACUCCGGAACUGCCUUCAAGACUGGAAACCUGGAGCAUGUCAGAGGCGAGUGGAAUUGCGAGUGUAGAGGUGAAAUUCGUAGAUAUUCGCAGGAACACCAGUGGCGAAGGCGACUCGCUGGGACAUUGCUGACGCUGAGACGCGAAAGCGUGGGGAGCAAGCAGG